Cinara cedri is the source of this 350-nucleotide non-coding RNA. The record is from the annotation of a GenBank genome assembly. NCBI's taxonomy places the organism in Eukaryota, Metazoa, Arthropoda, Insecta, Hemiptera, Aphididae.
AAAAAUCGAAAAAGGACGAUCGAUAACACGUCCGGGAAAACGCAUUUUCCGGAAUUAAGCGUUAAUAGUUAACUGAGACAUGUAACGAAACACAUACAUACGAGUAUUGUUAUAAUAUAUCGUUUGCGUCUCCGAAAUCUUGGAGUUCGAUCCAAAUAAAAAGACCAUAUGCAAUUAUUGACGGUUAGGCCCGUGACCGUUGCGCUCGUGUACGUAAACAAUACGGGGGUAUAAGAUUACAUUUUUUUUUUUCUGGCCAUCCUGACAAUAAAAUUACGCGAUUAUCUUGAUAUGCGGCAAAAAAUUUAAAUCGUCCGGAAAACGAUCCGAUUCGGCCGGGGAGGCGCUCU